This 23-nucleotide small nuclear RNA is filed under the name Arabidopsis thaliana (thale cress). Its description in RNAcentral is "snRNA_12775". Lineage: Eukaryota; Viridiplantae; Streptophyta; Magnoliopsida; Brassicales; Brassicaceae. The record is from RNAcentral.
CUAACAAAAUAGUCAUGGUUUCA